AUCUUCCCAUCCUAACUAGCCAAGCUCCUUCUGCUUUCCUGCAGAAGCAUAAGCUGGCUACAGUCUCCACAGGAGUGGUGACACAUUUUGGUCCCAUGGUCAGAGUUCUAAGUCUUGAGAACUGCAGAGAGACCGUGUCUCCAGCUGAUUGCACAGCAAGUGCGAAAACAUACAUCAGCAUGACUAGACCCUGUCCGUGGGUCUGGAGUCACAGAGAUUCAGGAAUCUAGUUAUAUAAUCUUGCCAAGACUCAGAUUAUAAAUAAGGAUAAUAAAUAUAUUUCAUGGAGUAGCUGGGGGAAUUAAAUUAGGAAAUAUGUAUAAACUACAUAAUAUAUCAGCCAUGUGACUAAGGUCUUAUACUUUUACUGAAUCACCACAUGUGUAUUAAGCACUGGCUUUGUGCCAAGUCCUGAGGUGCCAAUGGCAAGAUAAAUAGAUGUGAUUCCUUUAUACCAGGAGAUUAUAUUUCAGUAAACUCAAUACAUGUUUGUAGUUUUUUACUAUUAUUAUAUGGUUUGUCAGUUAUCUAUUGCUAUGUAAGCCUUGAAACUUACAAGCUUGAAACAAACCCUCUUAUCUUUGUUUCUAUAGGCCAGGAAUUUGGGAACCAUUUAAGCUGGUUGUUUCUCACUCAGGGCCACUCAAGCUGAUGGUUGGAGCUGCAGAGUCAUCCGAAGGCUGGACUGAGGCUGAAGAUCUGCUUCCAAGAUGGUGCCCUCACAUGGCUGCUGGCUGGAAGCCUUAGCCCCUCACCAUAAAGCCCUCUCUGUAAGGGUACCUGAGUCACCUCAUAAGGCAACUGGCUUUCCCCAGAGAUUACAGAAGUGGAUGUCAAGAGAAGAAGGUGUUAAGGUUCCUCUCUUCCAAUGAAUAGCAUGGCAGAAACUGUCAAUUAUGCAUCAACAUCUUUUCUCAUCUUCUUGGAAGAAGACAGAGAAUCUAGGAAGGUGCCAGGGAUGCUUUUUCAUCCCAAAGCCCUGUGAGAAAUCCCAUCUCUGGGCAAGAAGAGAAUCUGAAAGCAAAUGGAUGAAGAUGCUAAUGAGGCUCAGAUGAUGAGAGCACACUAGGCUCACAGCAUGCUGACAAAUCCAGAAACCAGCUAUGCUCCCCUUCUGCCUUCCUAAGACUUCAGUUAAGACACUGCACAUGCCUGUCCCUCUGCAGGAAGGUCAUCCAAAGUUAUAUCUUGCUUUAAAAAAACAAAACUUUAAAAAAUAAAAUGUAUGAAAUUGGGUAGUUAUUUGCAUUAUAAAGCAAUUUCAUUUAUUUAAACAGUCUACUGAGCUCAUAUAGGGCAUGAUUUGGGCUAUAGAAAUUCAGUUAGAAUUGAGAUUUACACCAAAGACUAUAAAAGGCCUAGUUUUAUCCCCU
RNAcentral lists this long non-coding RNA (1373 nucleotides) under Rhinopithecus bieti (black snub-nosed monkey). RNAcentral's name for it is "lncRNA (ENSRBIG00000045586.1)". Lineage: Eukaryota; Metazoa; Chordata; Mammalia; Primates; Cercopithecidae. The record is from RNAcentral.